This 460-nucleotide ribosomal RNA is filed under the name uncultured bacterium. Its description in RNAcentral is "partial 16S ribosomal RNA". It matches the Rfam family "Bacterial small subunit ribosomal RNA", at positions 338 to 795 of the family's 1533-position model. The record is from RNAcentral.
CCUACGGGUGGCAGCAGUGAGGCAUAUUGGUCAAUGGGCGUAAGCCUGAACCAGCCAAGUCGCGUGAGGGAUGAAGGUUCUAUGGAUCGUAAACCUCUUUUAUAAGGGCAUAAAGUGUGGGACGUGUCCUAUUUUGUAUGUACCUUAUGAAUAAGGAUCGGCUAACUCCGUGCAAGCAGCCGCGGUAAUACGGAGGAUCCGAGCGUUAUCCGGAUUUAUUGGGUUUAAAGGGUGAGUAGGCGGCCUUUUAAGUCAGCGGUGAAAGUCUGUGGCUCAACCAUAGAAUUGCCUGUGAAACUGGGGGGCUUGAGUAUGUUUGAGGAAGGCGGAAUGCGUGGGGUAGCGGUGAAAUGCUUAGAUAUCACGCAGAACCCCGAUUGCGAAGGCAGCCUGCCAAGCCAUGACUGACGCUGAUGCACGAAAGCGUGGGGAUCAAACAGGAUUAGAUACCCUGGUAGUC